GGGAAUAUUGCGCAAUGGAGGAAACUCUGACGCAGUGACGCCGCGUGCAGGAAGAAGGUUUUCGGAUUGUAAACUGCUUUAGACAGGGAAGAAACAAGACAGUACCUGUAGAAUAAGCUCCGGCUAACUACGUGCCAGCAGCCGCGGUAAUACGUAGGGAGCAAGCGUUAUCCGGAUUUAUUGGGUGUAAAGGGUGCGUAGACGGGAAGGAAAGUUGGUUGUGAAAUCCCUCGGCUUAACUGAGGAACUGCAACCAAAACUAUCUUUCUUGAGUGCUGUAGAGGAAAGUGGAAUUCCUAGUGUAGCGGUGAAAUGCGUAGAUAUUAGGAGGAACACCAGUGGCGAAGGCGACUUUCUGGACAGUAACUGACGUUGAGGCACGAAAGUGUGGGGAGCAAACAGGA
RNAcentral lists this ribosomal RNA (404 nucleotides) under uncultured bacterium. Its description in RNAcentral is "bacterial SSU rRNA". It matches the Rfam family "Bacterial small subunit ribosomal RNA", at positions 357 to 777 of the family's 1533-position model. The record is from RNAcentral.